UGGUUUAAUUCGAUGCAACGCGAAGAACCUUACCUGGUCUUGACAUCCACAGAACUUUCCAGAGAUGGAUUGGUGCCUUCGGGAACUGUGAGACAGGUGCUGCAUGGCUGUCGUCAGCUCGUGUUGUGAAAUGUUGGGUUAAGUCCCGCAACGAGCGCAACCCUUAUCCUUUGUUGCCAGCGGUUAGGCCGGGAACUCAAAGGAGACUGCCAGUGAUAAACUGGAGGAAGGUGGGGAUGACGUCAAGUCAUCAUGGCCCUUACGACCAGGGCUACACACGUGCUACAAUGGCAUAUA
RNAcentral lists this ribosomal RNA (297 nucleotides) under Pseudomonas aeruginosa. RNAcentral's name for it is "partial 16S ribosomal RNA". It matches the Rfam family "Bacterial small subunit ribosomal RNA", at positions 942 to 1239 of the family's 1533-position model. The record is from RNAcentral. Lineage: Bacteria; Pseudomonadati; Pseudomonadota; Gammaproteobacteria; Pseudomonadales; Pseudomonadaceae.